Molecule: ribosomal RNA, 427 nt
Filed under: uncultured bacterium
Lineage: Bacteria
Description: partial 16S ribosomal RNA
Rfam family: Bacterial small subunit ribosomal RNA
Source: RNAcentral
UGGGGAAUAUUGCACAAUGGGCGCAAGCCUGAUGCAGCCAUGCCGCGUGUAUGAAGAAGGCCUUCGGGUUGUAAAGUACUUUCAGCGAGGAGGAAGGCAUUGUGGUUAAUAACCGCAGUGAUUGACGUUACUCGCAGAAGAAGCACCGGCUAACUCCGUGCCAGCAGCCGCGGCAAUACGGAGGGUGCAAGCGUUAAUCGGAAUUACUGGGCGUAAAGCGCACGCAGGCGGUCUGUCAAGUCGGAUGUGAAAUCCCCGGGCUCAACCUGGGAACUGCAUCCGAAACUGGCAGGCUAGAGUCUUGUAGAGGGGGGUAGAAUUCCAGGUGUAGCGGUGAAAUGCGUAGAGAUCUGGAGGAAUACCGGUGGCGAAGGCGGCCCCCUGGACAAAGACUGACGCUCAGGUGCGAAAGCGUGGGGAGCAAACA